UAUAAAACGCCAAUAAACCCCCAAAAAAUCCCAAAUAAAUCCCGAAUAAAUCCUCAAUAAAUCCCAUAUAAAUCCCCAAUAAACCCCCAAUAAAUCCCAAAUAAAUCCCAUAUAAACUCCCAAUAAAUCCCAUAUAAACUCCCAAUAAAUCCCCAAAAAUCCUAUAUAAAUCCCCAAAAAAUCCCCAAUAAAUCCCAUAUAAAUCCCAUAUAAAACCCCAAUAAACCCCCAAUAAAUCCCCAAUAAAUCCCAUAUGAAAUCCCCAAUAAAUCCCAUAUAAAUCCCCAAUAAAUCCCAUAUAAAACCCCAAUAAAUCCCAUAUAAAUCCCCAAUAAAUCCCAUACAAAUCCCAUAUAAAUCCCAUAUAAAUCCCAUAUAACUCCCCAACAAAUCCCCAAUAAAUUCCAUAUAAAUUCCCAAUAAAUCCCAUAUAAAUUCCCAAUAAAUCCCAUAUAAAAGCCCAAUAAAUGCCAUAUAAACCCCCAAUAAAUCCCAUAUAAAACCCCAAUAAAUCCCCAAAAUAUCCCAUAUAAACCCCCAAAAAUCCCCAAUAAAUCCCAUAUAAAAUCCCAUAUAAAUCCCAUAUAAAACCCCAAUAAAUCCCCAAUAAAUCUGCCAUAAAUCCCAUCUAAAUCCCAUAUAAAACCCCAAUAAAUCCCAUAUAAAUCCCCAAUAAAUCCCAUAUAAAAUCCAUAUAAAUCUCAUAUAAAACCCCAAUAAAUCCUGUAUAAAUCCCGUAUAAAAUCCAUAUAAACCUGCUCGGGGUUGCUGAGGUUCUCGGACUCCUCCAGGACGUUUUCCCCCACGAAGAUCUCGGGGUGGGCAAAGAGCAGCUCCAGCAGCUCCUCGAUGCAGCCCAGGCACUUCUGCCACAAUUCCGGCUAAAAAUAAAUAAAAAAUUAUAAAUAAUCUUAAAUAAUGCUAAAUUUACUCCAUAAAUCAGCCCAGGCACUUCUGCCAUAGCUCCGGCUGGAAAUAAAUUAAAAAAAUAUAAAUAAUCCUAAAUAAUC
RNAcentral lists this long non-coding RNA (1010 nucleotides) under Zonotrichia albicollis (white-throated sparrow). RNAcentral's name for it is "lncRNA (ENSZALG00000009324.1)". Lineage: Eukaryota; Metazoa; Chordata; Aves; Passeriformes; Passerellidae. The record is from RNAcentral.